AUACGUAGGUGACAAGCGUUAUCCGGAUUUACUGGGCGUAAAGGGCGUGUAGGCGGUCUUGCAAGUCAGAAGUGAAAUUCCUGAGCUCAACUCGGGCGCUGCUUCUGAAACUGCAGGACUUGAGUGCUGGAGGGGAUAGCGGAAUUCCUAGUGGAGCGGUAAAAUGCGCAGAUAUUAGGAAGAACAUCGGUGGCGAAGGCGGCUAUCUGGACAGUAACUGACGCUGAGGCGCGAAAGCGUGGGGAGCAAAAAGGAUUAGAUACCCUGGUAGUCCACGCCGUAAACGAGGAAUACUAGGUGUAGGGGGUAUCGACUCCCUCUGUGCCGCAGUUAACACAAUAAGUAUUCCGCCUGGGGAGUACGGCCGCAAGGUUGAAACUCAAAGGAAUUGACGGGG
Molecule: ribosomal RNA, 397 nt
Filed under: uncultured bacterium
Lineage: Bacteria
Description: partial 16S ribosomal RNA
Rfam family: Bacterial small subunit ribosomal RNA
Source: RNAcentral